Scatophagus argus is the source of this 934-nucleotide long non-coding RNA. RefSeq lists it as uncharacterized. The transcript has 3 exons. Lineage: Eukaryota; Metazoa; Chordata; Actinopteri; Scatophagidae. The record is from RefSeq and is a predicted model, not a curated record.
AUGAAAUAAUAUAUUUGUUUUUAAUGUUUAAUUUCAAUAUAUUGAAUAGCGCCCAUGAAAAUGCAAUCCAGUACCAGAUCUCCACCACAACUAUGACCUAAAACUCCUCCUGGACAUAAAUCGUCACAUCUGAGAUUCAGUGUGUGACGGAUGCGGUUUUUUUUAUGGGCCCAUACUGGUUUUACUGGAAAGGACAAAGUGUUACAGCAUUAAAACAGCCGUUAAAAGAGCACAGUGUAAAGUAGUGAGAACCAAAACUCGUUGGACUGCGAAGUUUGGAACACAACAAGACUUAUGUAUUUCUUAAAAGAGAGCGACAGCCACAAAGAGACAGGAAAUGAGUCAAGACAUGCAGCAAAGGGGCCGGGCUGGAAUCAAAGCCAGCUGCAGGAAGGACUCCAGCUUAAUACAUAUUACAUGAUCUGCCUGCUGAGUGACUGGUUGCUCCCAGGACCUGCUGUCUAACUGAGAGAUAUCUCCAAACCUGAGAAGAAGACAGAGGAGACACAGUCAGCGGUGAUGGAGCAUCACCAACAUGCUCACUGAGUCGGUUGAUGUCAGAAUCAGUUGAUGUAACUAUAAUGAAGAGCAGGGGACUGUAGAGGAAACCUAAAACAUUUUCAACUACCGGUAAUUAACAAACGUAAAUGCAGCACAGUUACAUGCUGAACAACUCUUUGCCUAUGAGGGAAAGUGAGUAUGUCAUUCGAGUGUUAAAUGCCUCCUUUGCAUAAGGAUUACACUGACUUAAUUUCUGGAUAUAAAUGCAUUUUUUUUUUAAGAGUGAAAAAUAAAGAAUAAACUCCUUUUUUUCCAUAAAAGACUACUGUUUGUUAACAUGUUCACACAAAGACUGCUUGUCCUUUCAGAGAGAACAAAGAGUGUGUGCAGUACCUCUCAGCUAUAGUCUGCUGUUCAUUGAUGCCCACGUUAA